UACGUAGGGGGCAAGCGUUAUCCGGAUUUACUGGGUGUAAAGGGGGCGCAGACGGCGAUGCAAGCCAGGAGUGAAAGCCCGGGGCCCAACCCCGGGACUGCUCUUGGAACUGCGUGGCUGGAGUGCAGGAGGGGCAGGCGGAAUUCCUGGUGUAGCGGUGAAAUGCGUAGAUAUCAGGAGGAGCACCGGUGGCGAAGGCGGCCUGCUGGACUGCAACUGACGUUGAGGCCCGAAAGCGUGGGGAGCAAACAGG
RNAcentral lists this ribosomal RNA (253 nucleotides) under uncultured bacterium. RNAcentral's name for it is "partial 16S ribosomal RNA". It matches the Rfam family "Bacterial small subunit ribosomal RNA", at positions 524 to 776 of the family's 1533-position model. The record is from RNAcentral.